CGUGAGGGAAAGGCGAAAAGAACCCCGGCGAGGGGAGUGAAAAAGAACCUGAAACCGUGUACGUACAAGCAGUGGGAGCCUCUUUUAUGGGGUGACUGCGUACCUUUUGUAUAAUGGGUCAGCGACUUAUAUUCUGUAGCAAGGUUAACCGAAUAGGGGAGCCGAAGGGAAACCGAGUCUUAACUGGGCGUUAAGUUGCAGGGUAUAGACCCGAAACCCGGUGAUCUAGCCAUGGGCAGGUUGAAGGUUGGGUAACACUAACUGGAGGACCGAACCGACUAAUGUUGAAAAAUUAGCGGAUGACUUGUGGCUGGGGGUGAAAGGCCAAUCAAACCGGGAGAUAGCUGGUUCUCCCCGAAAGCUAUUUAGGUAGCGCCUCGUGAAUUCAUCUCCGGGGGUAGAGCACUGUUUCGGCAAGGGGGUCAUCCCGACUUACCAACCCGAUGCAAACUGCGAAUACCGGAGAAUGUUAUCACGGGAGACACACGGCGGGUGCUAACGUCCGUCGUGAAGAGGGAAACAACCCAGACCGCCAGCUAAGGUCCCAAAGUCAUGGUUAAGUGGGAAACGAUGUGGGAAGGCCCAGACAGCCAGGAUGUUGGCUUAGAAGCAGCCAUCAUUUAAAGAAAGCGUAAUAGCUCACUGGUCGAGUCGGCCUGCGCGGAAGAUGUAACGGGGCUAAACCAUGCACCGAAGCUGCGGCAGCGACGCUUAUGCGUUGUUGGGUAGGGGAGCGUUCUGUAAGCCUGUGAAGGUGUGCUGUGAGGCAUGCUGGAGGUAUCAGAAGUGCGAAUGCUGACAUAAGUAACGAUAAAGCGGGUGAAAAGCCCGCUCGCCGGAAGACCAAGGGUUCCUGUCCAACGUUAAUCGGGGCAGGGUGAGUCGACCCCUAAGGCGAGGCCGAAAGGCGUAGUCGAUGGGAAACAGGUUAAUAUUCCUGUACUUGGUGUUACUGCGAAGGGGGGACGGAGAAGGCUAUGUUGGCCGGGCGACGGUUGUCCCGGUUUAAGCGUGUAGGCUGGUUUUCCAGGCAAAUCCGGAAAAUCAAGGCUGAGGCGUGAUGACGAGGCACUACGGUGCUGAAGCAACAAAUGCCCUGCUUCCAGGAAAAGCCUCUAAGCAUCAGGUAACAUCAAAUCGUACCCCAAACCGACACAGGUGGUCAGGUAGAGAAUACCAAGGCGCUUGAGAGAACUCGGGUGAAGGAACUAGGCAAAAUGGUGCCGUAACUUCGGGAGAAGGCACGCUGAUAUGUAGGUGAAGCGACUUGCUCGUGGAGCUGAAAUCAGUCGAAGAUACCAGCUGGCUGCAACUGUUUAUUAAAAACACAGCACUGUGCAAACACGAAAGUGGACGUAUACGGUGUGACGCCUGCCCGGUGCCGGAAGGUUAAUUGAUGGGGUCAGCGCAAGCGAAGCUCUUGAUCGAAGCCCCGGUAAACGGCGGCCGUAACUAUAACGGUCCUAAGGUAGCGAAAUUCCUUGUCGGGUAAGUUCCGACCUGCACGAAUGGCGUAAUGAUGGCCAGGCUGUCUCCACCCGAGACUCAGUGAAAUUGAACUCGCUGUGAAGAUGCAGUGUACCCGCGGCAAGACGGAAAGACCCCGUGAACCUUUACUAUAGCUUGACACUGAACAUUGAGCCUUGAUGUGUAGGAUAGGUGGGAGGCUUUGAAGUGUGGACGCCAGUCUGCAUGGAGCCGACCUUGAAAUACCACCCUUUAAUGUUUGAUGUUCUAACGUUGACCCGUAAUCCGGGUUGCGGACAGUGUCUGGUGGGUAGUUUGACUGGGGCGGUCUCCUCCUAAAGAGUAACGGAGGAGCACGAAGGUUGGCUAAUCCUGGUCGGACAUCAGGAGGUUAGUGCAAUGGCAUAAGCCAGCUUGACUGCGAGCGUGACGGCGCGAGCAGGUGCGAAAGCAGGUCAUAGUGAUCCGGUGGUUCUGAAUGGAAGGGCCAUCGCUCAACGGAUAAAAGGUACUCCGGGGAUAACAGGCUGAUACCGCCCAAGAGUUCAUAUCGACGGCGGUGUUUGGCACCUCGAUGUCGGCUCAUCACAUCCUGGGGCUGAAGUAGGUCCCAAGGGUAUGGCUGUUCGCCAUUUAAAGUGGUACGCGAGCUGGGUUUAGAACGUCGUGAGACAGUUCGGUCCCUAUCUGCCGUGGGCGCUGGAGAACUGAGGGGGGCUGCUCCUAGUACGAGAGGACCGGAGUGGACGCAUCACUGGUGUUCGGGUUGUCAUGCCAAUGGCACUGCCCGGUAGCUAAAUGCGGAAGAGAUAAGUGCUGAAAGCAUCUAAGCACGAAACUUGCC
RNAcentral lists this ribosomal RNA (2311 nucleotides) under Escherichia coli. Its description in RNAcentral is "partial 23S ribosomal RNA". It matches the Rfam family "Bacterial large subunit ribosomal RNA", at positions 502 to 2798 of the family's 2925-position model. Lineage: Bacteria; Pseudomonadati; Pseudomonadota; Gammaproteobacteria; Enterobacterales; Enterobacteriaceae. The record is from RNAcentral.